AGUGAACGCUGGCGGUAGGCCUAACACAUGCAAGUCGAACGGCAGCACAGUAAGAGCUUGCUCUUACGGGUGGCGAGUGGCGGACGGGUGAGGAAUACAUCGGAAUCUACUUUUUCGUGGGGGAUAACGUAGGGAAACUUACGCUAAUACCGCAUACGACCUACGGGUGAAAGCAGGGGAUCUUCGGACCUUGCGCGAUUGAAUGAGCCGAUGUCGGAUUAGCUAGUUGGCGGGGUAAAGGCCCACCAAGGCAACGAUCCGUAGCUGGUCUGAGAGGAUGAUAGGCCACACUGGAACGGAGACAAGGUCAAGACUCCUACGGGAGGCAGCAGUAGGGAAUAUUCCGAAAUGGGCGAAAGCCUGACGGAGCAACGCCGCGGGAGUGAAGAAGGUCUUAGGAUCGUAAAACUCUGUUAUUAGGGAAGAAAAAAUGUGUAAGUAAAUAUGCACGUCUUGACGGUACCUAAUAAGAAAGCAACGGCUAACUACGUG
RNAcentral lists this ribosomal RNA (492 nucleotides) under uncultured bacterium. Its description in RNAcentral is "partial 16S ribosomal RNA". It matches the Rfam family "Bacterial small subunit ribosomal RNA", at positions 29 to 507 of the family's 1533-position model. The record is from RNAcentral.